UAGGUCCUCCUCUUCCUCCUGCGCCCCGUUCGCCCAGCCGCGCCUCACAUGGGGAAGGGGCCUCAGGGAGGCCGGGCACGAGCUGCGGUACCGCUAGCGGCCCAUGGACCCGGCUCCCGCUAACUGCGCCCGGCCCGCGCUUCGGGCGCUGGGGGUCUGCGCCUUCUCGCUCCCGCUCCCUAAACACAGCCAAGUUUUAUUUCUAAGCGGCGGGAGAGAGUAGGUCGAGCCGUUGGGGAAAGAGAGAUUUAUUCUUCAAGAAGGGAGAACAAAAUCAUCUGUGGCCUGAUGACUUGGAAGAAUGACAGGAAAUUAUAUAUCUAUAUCUUUGACUCUUGAGCCUGAGCGAAAGCAAGAGGUCUUACCGUGUGCGGGGCCCGCCCCCACCCCGGGAGGCAGCCGAGGGGUGCUGAUGCUGGCUUGGGGUCCUACGUCUGUCUCCUUACAUCCCCGAAGCGAUUACCGACUCUCUCGCUUCCCCCAGACACGGCGUGGCCGGCGGGGCCCGAGCUGGGGCCAGGGUGCUGACUCUGCCGCCUCUCGGAGCGCCGCGGGACUUCCAAAGUUGCGUGCCCUGCUGGGGCUGGGGAGCAGCGCGCGGAGCUCGGAGGCGGCGGCGGCGGCGGCGGGGUGAGGGGUUUAGGGGCCGCAUGAAGGCGCCCCCGUCCUCAGGCGGGCCCGGGCGGGUGGGCUAUUGGCCCUCCAGGAGCCGCAGCCGAGGCAGGGGGUCUCCUGGGCGUUGGCCCGGCGAGCUUCGAGCGCUGAGCUCAACCGGACAGGCUGGGGUCCGAGGGCGGCGUGAGUUGGGGCAGGAGCUCAAGGCUCGGGAGAGAAGGUGUUGGGGGUGGCCGGGCGGCUGCGCGCCUGCUGCUAGGCGUCCGCACCGUUGCCGAGGCCGCUGCUUCGCCGCCGCGCUCACGGUGGACUGGUUUUAUAGCCCAAGGAUCAAGCCGGCGUUGCCGAGCAGCCGGCGUCAGCCCCCACGUGGGAAGCCGACCCUCCCCCGCCCCUUGCGCCUCCCCUCCGCGGGUCUAGCGCCCGCGCCCCGCGCCUGACCCACUGGCGCCCUACCCACCCCACCCCCCGGCGAGACUGGCCCUUUGGGAGGGCGGGUACCUUAAGCGAGGGAUUUAAAGAGCGUGCGGGGGGAGGGGGGCGGGAGCGGUCAUUCUGGGAAUUGGCUGAGUAUCUCCCGGCCCGCCAAGCAGAAGGCAUCGGGCACCCGGGAGUGCCCACAUGGGACUGAGUGGGACCCAGGAGGAAAGGAUGAUACAGACCCCUGGCCGAAUCGGGAGAAACAACUGUCGGUACAGGCCGCAUCUGUGGCAGCCGGGUUCCACUCGUCCCCAAGUGCUGCUGGCGGAGGAGCGAGUGGGGCUGUGGAGAGAGGAAGGCAAAGGUUCGGAUCCAACCCCUGGGGCGGAAUAGGAAGCACCGCCCGGGGAAAGGGCCCGCCAGAGUUCAGAGCUCUGCUCUGGGGAGAGGCAGCCAACUUGUCGUCCCAACCGCAGAGCUAUCUGAGGGACGCUAGCGGCCCGGGGUCAGAACCGCGCCCCCUAGACCGCGUUGAGGAGGGGUCCCGGAUCCGAGGCGGCGCGCGGAGACAGAGCGAGGGCGCACUGACACCUGCCGGCCGCUGGCCGUCACCGCUGCGAAGCUAUCCGCCAGCGCCCGGGGAGCCUUCUCCCGCCCCUGCAGCUCUUUGCCUUCAGCGCCUUCUCUUAUCUCCGGACAAGUUUGCGUCCAAACUCAAGAAAAUAGAACCCAGAUUUUUAAUUGCAUUUUGUCAUGUUGCAGGAAUCUUCGGAAGUUUACACUCUUGUGCGUCUAAACCCCACCCACCCAACCCCGCUCCCGAAGGGACAAAGGAUUGGUCUGAUAAAGUCAUGUAAGGAAGGGAAGGGCUGGCAUCAGAGGCCAGGACUGACACUCCACCCUGGACCAGCACAGGGCAACGCUGCAUUCCCGCAGAUCCAAGAGAGGCUUGGAUCCUGCCCCGGCUGGUUGCUUUGCUCCGAUCUGCUCUGAACCAUUGUGUCUUUGUUGAAGCCAGAAAGCUAGGCUCCACCCAACCACCACUCCCCCAUUUCAGAAGCACAGACACCAUCUUUCAGUAAGGGGAGGGCGCUGGCCAAGAGAAGAGGGAAUAUUUUCCAUGUUCUCUCUGAUAGGAAUAGCAUGAAGUGGGGGUGACUACAGUUUCCUCUGCCUGCUAGAUGCCCUGUGGUAGAUUUUAACGGUUGCUGGAGCACCAGCUUGUAUUGUGCUAUCUGCACUUUUCAAAUAAACAGCAGUUUAAGGGUACGGCCCAGGAGGAUAGGAGCUUUCAGAAGGAGAGAGAUUAGACCUAAAGAAAAGGUGUCUUAUUUAAGGACCUGCUAAACCAAAAUACUGUAUGUAGUCAACUAAGCUGGGAGUUCGAAGAACUAAACAGACUGACUCUCUAACCAGCAGGGUUCAGGGUCAGGGGCUGAGGACUAAAUUAAAUACUUUGAGCAUCACCUUCAACCCUGGUUGAUGUCUAUAGCCCACACCAGUGAUACAGUGAUUGAUGCUGUUGGUCUUGACAUGGAUAGUCCUGAAGUCUGUACUUUUUCAAAGUACUUCACAGGUGUCUCACAUGACUUCAGUACUCUCAUCUCCCAAUCUUUGAUCCAGCGGGAUGGAUGCCCUCCCUUUCCAGUCUUAAUUCUGGGGAGUCUUUCUAAUCCCCUUGUCGGGAGCAUCUAAGAAAGUUAAGGCAGGAUUUCCUCCCUCUAUCAAAUCCAUUUUUUCCUAUCUUCUGAGAAAGUCUCAGCUCUGUAUCUCCCAACAGGGGGCAGAAACAUUGCAUGAGGCUCAGUUGGAAAUGUGAUUACACUCAUCUUUGCACAGUAACCAGGAGCCCCAAACCUUCAGUAUAAAUGCUGAGUGAGACAAAGCCCAUGGCAAUCUGGGCUUCACUGUGUUGUUCACAGGCCUUGGGGACUGAGUUUUGAGAGGCUGUCACCUCCCAUCGCCACACCAGCUGCUGAUACCUGUCUCUCCUUCCUAUCUCAUUUCAGAAGCAAAAUGGGAAAUGAAAACAGAGACCACAGUGUCUUCCUUUCUUGGAAUCUCUGCGGCUAGCCUGCGUAUGACACCUCUUGUCACAUUUUCUAAAUGCUUCACAAACAGCCAGACGGUUUCUUAAUUCCUGGGUUUGGAGUCUUUUCUCCUAAUGUGGAAAUCAGCUUUGCAAGGAGCUAGGGCUUCAGAGGCCAGGACACAACAAUUAUUAAUAAUAACAAUAGCUGCCUUUCGUUAAGUUCCUAGUAUGCAGCAUGUCCAGGACUAUACACAGAGCCCCUUUAUAUGCAGAGUUCUUCCUCUCAACACAUGUACCUUGUCACCACCUUAUCACCUCUGCCUCCUUAGUUGGAUAUGCAUGGUCAGUAUUUCUGAGCUUUGAAAAGCUAUGUGGACACCUUUAUUAUUAUUAUUAUUAUUAUUAUUAUUAUUAUUAUUAUUAUUGCUAGAUUUAGUGCUGUACUUGCUGAGUGAGACAGCAAUGAGCAGAGAGAUAUCCACUAAGACAAUAAUUCUUAACUGGGCCUGUAUAUCAAGCAUUGCCUGGGAAAGGGAAAUACACUUAUUGGUGCUCCACCAGGGUAAUUAUGAUUCAUCAGGUCUGCAAUGGACUGCAGACUGUGUAUUUUAACAAAGCUCCUUGGGAGAUGCUAAUAUGCGUGCUCAGUUAAAACUCACUGCUCUAAGCAAUAAAUCUCAGUGGGGGCAGGAGUAAUGAACAAGUGCCUUGGUAGGGGCAGGGAGGGGGUGUCCACAUGACCUGGUGUCUUUUAUCAAGCCAGCCUAAGCUAUCAAGAAUGGACCCCAGAUUGAGAAUAACUGCCCUGAGUCUCCUGGGACAGCCAGAAGGGUGCCCCAGCCCUCCAGGGACCUGGAACAAAACAGUUGAGAGCCACUGUAAAUAUAGAGGCUGGCUUUCCUGGCCUGAGGAAAAGUCACCUCUGGGCACACAAAUGGGAGUCCACUAUUAUUUCUACUAUUAAUAAAAAUAAGUACUACAGAGGAACUUAACAUUUUUUUCAAAGAUAUACAAAUGGCCAGUAGGCACAUGAGAAGACGUUCAACAUCACUAGUCAUCAGAGAAAUGGAAAUGAAAACGACAAUGAGAUAUCACCUCACACCUGCCAGAAUGGCUGUCAUCAAAAAGACCACAAAUAACAAGUGCUGGCGACGUUGUAGAGAGGUUGUAGAGAAAAAGGAGCCCUUGUGCAUUGCUGCUGGGAACAUAAAUUGCCACAGCCACUGUGGAAAACAGUAUAAAGAUUCCUCAAAAAUUAAAAAUAGAACUACCAUAUGAUACAUCAAUUCCACUCCUGGGUAUGCAGCCAAAGAAAACAAAAACACUAAUUAGAAAAGAUACAUGCAAAAACAUAUGUUCAUUGCAGCGUUAUUUAACAAACAUUCAAAACAUGGAGGCAACCUAAGUGCCCCUCAAUAGAUGAAUGGAUAAAGAAGUGUGAUAAACUCACACACAUACACACACAAUGGAAUCCUGCUCAGCCACAAAAAAGAGGGAAAUCUUGCUAUUUGUGACAACAUGGAUGGACUCUGAGGGUAUUAUGCUAAGUGAAAUGUACUAUGCUAAGUGAAAUAAGUCAGACAGAAAAAUAAAUACUGUAUGAUUUUGUUUAUAAGUAGAAUCUAAAAAAAAAACCAAUUAACAUAACAAAACAGAGGUGUAGAUACAGAGAACAAACAUGUGGUUGUCAAAAGGGAGGGAGUCCGGAGGAGGAAAGAAAUCAGUGAGGGAGAUUAAGAGGUACGAACUUUCACUAAGGUACAAACUCCCAGUUAUAAGAUAAAUAAGCACCAGGGAUGUAGUGUACAACGUGAUAAAUACAAUUAACACUGCCGUAUGUUGUAUAUGAAAAUUAAGAGAAUAAAUCCUAAGAGUUCUCAUCAUAAGAAAAACAGUUUUUUCAUUUCUUUAAUUUUGUUAUCUGUAUGAGAUGAUGAUUCAAAUUUAUUAUGAUAAUCAUUUCAUGAUGUGAGUCAAUUAUGCCACACAUUUUAAACUUGUACAGUGUCGCAUGUCAAUUAUAUCUCAAUAAAACUGGAU
This 5107-nucleotide long non-coding RNA is filed under the name Sus scrofa (pig). RNAcentral's name for it is "lncRNA (ENSSSCG00000053925.1)". The record is from RNAcentral. Lineage: Eukaryota; Metazoa; Chordata; Mammalia; Artiodactyla; Suidae.